AGGGAAAAGCUGAGUGGCGGACGGGUGAGUAACGCGUGGGUACCUGCCCUAUACAGGGGGACAACAGUUGGAAACGACUGCUAAUACCGCAUAAGACCGCAUGGUAAAAACUCCGGUGGUAUAGGAUGGGCCCGCGUCUGAUUAGCUAGUUGGAGGUGUAACGGACCACCAAGGCGACGAUCAGUAGCCGGCUUGAGAGAGUGAACGGCCACAUUGGGACUGAGACACGGCCCAAACUCCUACGGGAGGCAGCAGUGGGGAAUAUUGCACAAUGGGGGAAACCCUGAUGCAGCAACGCCGCGUGAGUGAAGAAGUAUUUCGGUAUGUAAAGCUCUAUCAGCAGGGAAGAAAAUGACGGUACCUGACUAAGAAGCCCCGGCUAACUACGUGCCAGCAGCCGCGGUAAUACGUAGGGGGCAAGCGUUAUCCGGAUUUACUGGGUGUAAAGGGAGCGCAGGCGGUCUGGCAAGUCUGAUGUGAAAUCCCGGGGCUCAACCCUGGAACUGCAUUGGAAACUGUCAGACUAGAGUGCCGGAGAGGUAAGUGGAAUUCCUAGUGCAGCGGUGAAAUGCGUAGAUAUUAGGAGGAA
RNAcentral lists this ribosomal RNA (589 nucleotides) under uncultured bacterium. RNAcentral's name for it is "bacterial SSU rRNA". It matches the Rfam family "Bacterial small subunit ribosomal RNA", at positions 82 to 706 of the family's 1533-position model. The record is from RNAcentral.